RNAcentral lists this ribosomal RNA (492 nucleotides) under uncultured bacterium. Its description in RNAcentral is "partial 16S ribosomal RNA". It matches the Rfam family "Bacterial small subunit ribosomal RNA", at positions 29 to 507 of the family's 1533-position model. The record is from RNAcentral.
AUUGAACGCUGGCGGCAUGCUUUACACAUGCAAGUCGAACGGUAACAGGCCUUCGGGUGCUGACGAGUGGCGAACGGGUGAGUAAUGCAUCGGAACGUACCCAGAGGUGGGGGAUAACGCAGCGAAAGCUGUGCUAAUACCGCAUGUGAUCUGAGGAUGAAAGCGGGGGACCGAGCAGCAAUGUUUGGCCUCGCGCCUUUGGAGCGGCCGAUGUCGGAUUAGCUAGUUGGUGGGGUAAAGGCCUACCAAGGCGACAAUCCGUAGCUGGUCUGAGAGGACGACCAGCCACACUGGGACUGAGACACGGCCCAGACUCCUACGGGAGGCAGCAGUGGGGAAUUUUGGACAAUGGGCGCAAGCCUGAUCCAGCAAUGCCGCGUGCGGGAAGAAGGCCUUCGGGUUGUAAACCGCUUUUGGCAGGAACGAAACGGUGUCCGCUAAUACCGGGCGCUAAUGACGGUACCUGCAGAAUAAGCACCGGCUGACUACGUG